AUUGAACGCUGGCGGCAUGCCUAACACAUGCAAGUCGAACGGAGAUUACGGACGGAAGUUUUCGGAUGGAAGACUGUAAUUCUUAGUGGCGGACGGGUGAGUAACGCGUGGGCAACCUGCCCUAUACAGGGGGAUAGCAGCUGGAAACGGCUGGUAAGACCGCAUAAGUCGGCGAGACCGCAUGGUUUUGCCGGGAAAUGAGCAAUCAGGUAUAGGAUGGGCCCGCGUCCGAUUAGCCAGUUGGCAGGGUAAAAGCCUACCAAAGCAACGAUCGGUAGCCGGACUGAGAGGUCGGACGGCCACAUUGGGACUGAGACACGGCCCAAACUCCUACGGGAGGCAGCAGUGGGGGAUAUUGCACAAUGGAGGAAACUCUGAUGCAGCGACGCCGCGUGAGUGAAGAAGUAUUUCGGUAUGUAAAGCUCUAUCAGCAGGGAAGAUGAUGACGGUACCUGACUAAGAAGCCCCGGCUAACUACGUG
This 481-nucleotide ribosomal RNA is filed under the name uncultured bacterium. RNAcentral's name for it is "partial 16S ribosomal RNA". It matches the Rfam family "Bacterial small subunit ribosomal RNA", at positions 30 to 507 of the family's 1533-position model. The record is from RNAcentral.